AAUCCAUGGUGUGGGCAUAUUUGGAUCAACAUUUUAAAAUGCUCCCAAGCUUCAUAAAAGCUCUCUCCUUCCAAUUGUUUAAACAUUGCAAUCUCUCUUCUCAGUUG
RNAcentral lists this small nucleolar RNA (107 nucleotides) under Gossypium hirsutum (cotton). Its description in RNAcentral is "Plant small nucleolar RNA R71". It matches the Rfam family "Plant small nucleolar RNA R71". From Rfam's summary of the family: R71 is a member of the C/D box family of snoRNAs containing the C (UGAUGA) and D (CUGA) box motifs. Multiple nearly identical copies of this snoRNA have been identified in Arabidopsis, and it is thought to function as a 2'-O-ribose methylation guide for 18S ribosomal RNA. RNAcentral also lists the same sequence under 1 other name. The record is from Rfam by way of RNAcentral. Lineage: Eukaryota; Viridiplantae; Streptophyta; Magnoliopsida; Malvales; Malvaceae.